This 69-nucleotide transfer RNA is filed under the name Mantophryne lateralis (Victoria Archipelago frog). RNAcentral describes it as "tRNA-His". Lineage: Eukaryota; Metazoa; Chordata; Amphibia; Anura; Microhylidae. The record is from RNAcentral.
GUAAACAUAUUUUAAUCAAAAUACUAGGCUGUGGUCCUAGACAUGAAGACUAAUUCUCUUCUGUUUACC